Molecule: unclassified non-coding RNA, 676 nt
Filed under: Hevea brasiliensis (rubber tree)
Lineage: Eukaryota; Viridiplantae; Streptophyta; Magnoliopsida; Malpighiales; Euphorbiaceae
Source: RNAcentral
AAUGUGGAGAAGAUCUUUGAGCCACUACAUCAAGAUUCAAGAAACUCAUAUAAUUGAACCAUAUAACCUCUAUCUUUAAUUCAUGAAGAUAUAAUUACAUUGUCAAGGUAUGAAACUUGGAACAACUAUAAUUUUAUGGACAUUAGCAAAGAUAAAGACACGAAAUUCAUUAUAUCCAAAAUGCACACUUUAAUGUGCUUCCAUAUAAUAAAAAAAAUAAAAUAAGAACACUUUUUUUUGAUAAAAAUCAGGCACUAGGAUUUAGACUUAGUAUCAAACUACUUGUAGCAACAGAUCUAUGCCCACAGGCUCUUAGAGAUUACGAAAUGAAAUUACGUAUUUUAACAAGCAACAACUCUGAAAUGCAAGAAAAUGUAUCAGUUAUUUAUAAUAAGUCCCAAUGAAGAUAUGAGAAAACAAGAAAAAUAAUAAAUACUGUCCAUCUUGUUCUUGAAUAACAUAUCUUUUAAAUGAAAAAGAUGGCCAGAAGAUAGAGGAUAGUCAGUGAUGGUUCUAGCAAUUUCAGCAUUUUCCGUCACCAAAUUUACAUGGAAAUUCAAAUUAGUCACUGAAUAGCCAAUAACUUUUCUGUUUUGAAAAUAAUGGGCAAAGAACUUAUACAGAAACAGUUGACUCAAAGGCAGGAGAACACAAUUUACAUCUGUAUAAUAAAACC